RNAcentral lists this ribosomal RNA (349 nucleotides) under uncultured Desulfovibrio sp. Its description in RNAcentral is "bacterial SSU rRNA". It matches the Rfam family "Bacterial small subunit ribosomal RNA", at positions 1034 to 1382 of the family's 1533-position model. The record is from RNAcentral. Lineage: Bacteria; Pseudomonadati; Thermodesulfobacteriota; Desulfovibrionia; Desulfovibrionales; Desulfovibrionaceae.
ACAGGUGCUGCAUGGCUGUCGUCAGCUCGUGCCGUGAGGUGUUGGGUUAAGUCCCGCAACGAGCGCAACCCUAUUGCCAGUUGCUACCAGGUAAUGCUGGGCACUCUGGUGAGACUGCCCCGGUUAACGGGGAGGAAGGUGGGGACGACGUCAAGUCAUCAUGGCCCUUACGCCUAGGGCUACACACGUACUACAAUGGCGCAUACAAAGGGCAGCGAUACCGCGAGGUGGAGCCAAUCCCAAAAAGUGCGUCCCAGUCCGGAUUGCAGUCUGCAACUCGACUGCAUGAAGUUGGAAUCGCUAGUAAUUCGGAGAUCAGCAUGCUCGGGUGAAUGCGUUCCCGGGCCUU